This 635-nucleotide ribosomal RNA is filed under the name Rhodococcus sp. So1Ps_779. RNAcentral's name for it is "bacterial SSU rRNA". It matches the Rfam family "Bacterial small subunit ribosomal RNA", at positions 383 to 1031 of the family's 1533-position model. Lineage: Bacteria; Bacillati; Actinomycetota; Actinomycetes; Mycobacteriales; Nocardiaceae. The record is from RNAcentral.
CUGAUGCAGCGACGCCGCGUGAGGGAUGAAGGCCUUCGGGUUGUAAACCUCUUUCAGCAGGGACGAAGCGCAAGUGACGGUACCUGCAGAAGAAGCACCGGCUAACUACGUGCCAGCAGCCGCGGUAAUACGUAGGGUGCGAGCGUUGUCCGGAAUUACUGGGCGUAAAGAGUUCGUAGGCGGUUUGUCGCGUCGUCUGUGAAAACCCAUCGCUCAACGAUGGGCCGGCAGGCGAUACGGGCAGACUUGAGUACUGCAGGGGAGACUGGAAUUCCUGGUGUAGCGGUGAAAUGCGCAGAUAUCAGGAGGAACACCGGUGGCGAAGGCGGGUCUCUGGGCAGUAACUGACGCUGAGGAACGAAAGCGUGGGUAGCAAACAGGAUUAGAUACCCUGGUAGUCCACGCCGUAAACGGUGGGCGCUAGGUGUGGGUUCCUUCCACGGGAUCUGUGCCGUAGCUAACGCAUUAAGCGCCCCGCCUGGGGAGUACGGCCGCAAGGCUAAAACUCAAAGGAAUUGACGGGGGCCCGCACAAGCGGCGGAGCAUGUGGAUUAAUUCGAUGCAACGCGAAGAACCUUACCUGGGUUUGACAUAUACUGGAAAGCUGCAGAGAUGUAGCCCCCCUUGUGGCCGGU